CAGCUGGUGAAGGAAUAGCUUGCGUAAUGAGUUCAGCAGAAGUGCAGUUCCACCAGGUGUUUGCUAAUGGCUGCUUGCUAGUCUGAAGGAGCAGAAUGGGU
Molecule: long non-coding RNA, 101 nt
Organism: Poecilia latipinna (sailfin molly)
Lineage: Eukaryota; Metazoa; Chordata; Actinopteri; Cyprinodontiformes; Poeciliidae
Exons: 3
Source: RefSeq, a predicted model, not a curated record